GGACGCCAUCUUGACUGUGGGCAG
This 24-nucleotide microRNA is filed under the name Gallus gallus (chicken). RNAcentral's name for it is "gga-miR-1675". Lineage: Eukaryota; Metazoa; Chordata; Aves; Galliformes; Phasianidae. The record is from miRBase by way of RNAcentral.